CCUACGGGUGGCAGCAGUAGGGAAUCUUUCACAAUGGGCGAAAGCCUGAUGGAGCAACGCCGCGUGCAGGAUGAAGGCCUUCGGGUUGUAAACUGCUUUUAUAAGCGAGAAAUAUGAUGGUAACUUAUGAAUAAGGAUCGGCUAACUACGUGCCAGCAGCCGCGGUCAUACGUAGGAUCCGAGCAUUAUCCGGAGUGACUGGGUGUAAAGAGUUGCGUAGGUGGCAUAAUAAGUAGCUAGUGAAAUCUGGUGGCUCAACCAUUCAGACUAUUAGCUAAACUGUUAAGCUAGCGUGCAGGAGAGGUUAGUGGAAUUCCAUGUGUAGCGGUAAAAUGCGUAGAUAUAUGGAGGAACACCAGUGGCGAAGGCGGCUAACUGGCCUGUAACGGACGCUGAGGCACGAAAGCGUGGGGAGCAAAUAGGAUUAGAUACCCUUGUAGUC
Molecule: ribosomal RNA, 442 nt
Filed under: uncultured bacterium
Lineage: Bacteria
Description: partial 16S ribosomal RNA
Rfam family: Bacterial small subunit ribosomal RNA
Source: RNAcentral